AAAAGAAGUACAAUCGCCAAGUUGUUCUGGGAAAUUAGAUUAAGAGAAACGAGCACAAGUU
This 61-nucleotide small RNA is filed under the name Caenorhabditis elegans. Its description in RNAcentral is "Unclassified non-coding RNA F49H12.8". The record is from RNAcentral. Lineage: Eukaryota; Metazoa; Nematoda; Chromadorea; Rhabditida; Rhabditidae.